Molecule: long non-coding RNA, 1155 nt
Organism: Raphanus sativus (radish)
Lineage: Eukaryota; Viridiplantae; Streptophyta; Magnoliopsida; Brassicales; Brassicaceae
Exons: 8
Source: RefSeq, a predicted model, not a curated record
AGACACAAGACAAUUUGGUUACCCAGUUCCCUUAUCGGAACCAGAGAAGAGAUUUCACCAACGCUAGAAAACACUGUAAUCUCCUUGCAACACAACCUGAUCAGCACUUGAGUGUAUUUAAAGGGCAAUGGAGCUGCUGUCAUGGGCUUCGUAGAAGACUUGACCCAAGACUUAAUUGUUGAAGUCGUAUGGGCUUUAACUCUUGAAUGCAGCCCACUUGUUUUGGACCCAAUAGAGUCUUGGCCCUCUUUGUCUGAAUUGAGACAACCAAACCCUUCAAUCUCCACCUUUGUCUUCGAUUCAGCUCAGCUCCGGUUUCAUCGCCUCCUGAUCUCACUCAGUCUCCAAACCUCUUCGAGUUUUAACCGAUCUGGGCUUCACGAUGCUUCCGCUAAUCUUACGACAUCAUCUCCUCUGUCAGCUUUACCGAUGACAGAUCAUGAUUUUCAUCUUUCCUAUCGCUCACAACUCUACCUUGCGAACUGCUCAACCGUUUCCGUUUAGCCACGAUUUCUGAUUGAUCCUCUAAUUUGAAGAAUCGUCGACUAUUCUUCUGCCCUUAGUAGUUCCAAUUUUGAUGAUCGAACCCAGACCCAUGUGCCUCUCAGUUUGACCACUGACGACACGUAGUACCUUGACUCUCUCACUUAACCUCAACACUGUAACUCUCACUGAUUCAGUAGUUUCAGAGAAUCCAGACUUCAAGACGGUAGAAUUUCAGUUUUAGUAAUUACCGAUACUGAUACACCUCAAUAUCUGUUUCAUGUCCAUUGUGAGAUUAUCAAAUCGACCAAGAUCAAUCUCUGGACUUCCUUUGCUGACUUAUGCUGAGACGUUCAGAAGUGCCAGGCACUUCUCAAAACUGUUACCAGGUGCGAAGAUUUCAUUGUAGUCUACCCCUUCGAUCUGCGUGAAACCUUUUGCUACAAGUCGGGCUUUGUACCUUGGAUCUUCCACACCAGGUUGCAGAAUUCAAGUCCGUUGUCAGUCCUGAGGCACUUAAUCUUCUUCUUGGUUUGGUUUUCAACCAGGUUUUUCCACUCCGAGAAGUGAUCAAAGACCUCAUCCUUGCUUCUCUGAAAUCGUAUCCAUACCUUUCGUGAGAAGUCAUCUAUGAACGUGAGGAAGUACUUGCAUCCUGACAGGCUUGGUUCA